UGAGUUUAGAGACCUUUUUGACACUCAUGACUGCGUCUGCCGCUCCCCCGCCCGCUAGCUAGUGGUAAUUUUCCCACCUAGCGGAGGUCUUCAGAAAUAUCUUCAGAAACGGUUGGUCUCCAGAUCGCUCUCCCGCCGUUCCCAUCUUAGGGCCUCUCCAGCCACCAAGCAAUAAGUCAAUAUCAGUUCAACAACUGGAGUGAAGAUUUCGAAUAUGAGGAAGAGAAAGAAGCAGAAGAAAAACUAAAAACACUAAACAAGGAGUUGAAGGAUCUGAAAAGGACCUGGACCCAGCAGAUGGCAGCUCUUGAAACCCCAGGUUUAAGAAUAAAAAGAAGAUGAAAAAGAAGAAAGAAUCUGUUGUUCACUCUUUUUGAACUUAUCAGAAGCCCGUGGGAAAUUUUAAUACUGAUAACAUUUCAAAGUGCAUUGCCCCA
RNAcentral lists this long non-coding RNA (437 nucleotides) under Heterocephalus glaber (naked mole-rat). RNAcentral's name for it is "lncRNA (ENSHGLG00000041684.1)". The record is from RNAcentral. Lineage: Eukaryota; Metazoa; Chordata; Mammalia; Rodentia; Bathyergidae.